Non-coding RNA from Ictidomys tridecemlineatus (thirteen-lined ground squirrel), 1110 nucleotides. NCBI's taxonomy places the organism in Eukaryota, Metazoa, Chordata, Mammalia, Rodentia, Sciuridae. The record is from RefSeq and is a predicted model, not a curated record.
GGAGACAAACCUUCCGGAAUGUUGUAGUGCUGCAUCUGGCAAGAGCCAGAUGGAAGUAAACUGAUUGAGAGGCUCAAGGGCAAGCACUCAAACUGAAUUCUCAGAGGAAUUACUUACAAACAUGGUUUACCUGUUUGUUUCCUGUGAUGAAUGUGUAGAAGAGGAAGAAGGCAGCUUGUGCUCAGGGAGGAAUGAGUGCAGCCUCUGGGGGCAGGAGGAUGCGGGGCUAAGCGCAGGCCCUGCAUUGCCUGCAUUCAAUCAAGAAGAUAGAAAUUAAAAACAAACAAACGAACAAAAAACAGUGAAGAGCAUUCACUAAGAUGACUGGUGUUUCUGUCAGCUGUCUUGUGGUUGUGACCAAGAGACCUGACAAGAACGAUUUUAGGGGAGGGAAUGUUUAUUUGUCCCUGUUUCGGAGGUCUCGGUCUAUAGACAGCUGGCUGCAUUGCUCAGAUCCUGAGAAGAGGCAGAACAUCAUGGUGGAAAAGUAGAGUGGGAGAAAGCAGCUGGGAAGUUGGUGCCUGAAAGCAAAGAGAGAGAGACUUCUCCUCUCCCCAAGGAGAAAGUGCAAACUUCAAAGUCAUGCCUCCAUGACCCACCUCCUCCAGCCACACGCUACCUGCACACAGGGGAUUAAGGCACUCAUUAGUUAAGACUCUCAUAACCCAAUCGUUUCACCUCUGAAUUUUCUUGCAUUGUAUCACACAUGAGUUUUUCGGGGAACACCUAAUAUCUAAACCAUAACAACUGGCCUACAACUCAAGUGUCAAGGUCCUUACAGGCAAGGAGAGACUGGAAAGCCGUUCCACCAACAGGGCUCAAUGCCUGACUGCAUUGAGCUUCUAAACUUUUUGUUAAGAAGGAAAUUAUUGGAACAGUUGCUAAAAGUGUACUGUGUCUAUUUCUCCAUUUGAAGAUUAUAAAAUAAAAUGUAAAAUAUGAAGCCCAACAGAAUGUAAGGGAAAAAAUAACUGAUGUAUUUUCAAGAGAACAAUGAAGCAAUAGAACAAAUGAAGAUAAAAGUAAUGAAAACAGUCUGAGUUUCUAAGUCACAGGAAAGCUGUCUGUUUCUCUGCUAGAUGUAUGUUCCAAUUAAAAAUUUAAACAUUA